GCCUCUGUAGCUCAGUGGCAAAGGAAUGGUCUUCUAGACCAGAGGUCGCGAGUUCAAUCCUCACAGGAGGCA
This is a non-coding RNA of Acanthoscelides obtectus, 72 nucleotides long. NCBI's taxonomy places the organism in Eukaryota, Metazoa, Arthropoda, Insecta, Coleoptera, Chrysomelidae. The record is from the annotation of a GenBank genome assembly.